This 123-nucleotide ribosomal RNA is filed under the name Pteropus alecto (black flying fox). The record is from RNAcentral. Lineage: Eukaryota; Metazoa; Chordata; Mammalia; Chiroptera; Pteropodidae.
CCAUAUAGACCUGACACAGAAAAUCAAGAAUUCCGAUCUCGUCUGAUCUUGAAAGCUAAGCAGGGUUGGGCCUGAUUAGUACUUAGAUGGGAGAUCACCUAUGAAUACCAGGUGCUGUAGGUA